RNA transcript from Carassius auratus (goldfish), 1937 nucleotides. RefSeq lists it as uncharacterized. The transcript has 2 exons. Lineage: Eukaryota; Metazoa; Chordata; Actinopteri; Cypriniformes; Cyprinidae. The record is from RefSeq and is a predicted model, not a curated record.
CUGGGGGGUCCUACUACCACUUUGGAAUCGAAAAUGCUCUCAUAGCUGAACUAACAUCUUUAGGACAUUUAGCAAAUGUGACUGAUACUCUCACACUUCGAAUUAACAUCGAUGGAUUGCCCUUAUUCCGUAGCUCCAGUUUGAGUCUGUGGCCUAUUCUGGGUAUGAUUAAGGAAAUUCCAGAGUGUAGUGUCUUUGUAAUUGGAGUGUACUCUGGUGUGUCCAAACCCGCAAAUGUGCAAGAGUAUUUACAAGAAUUCAUUGUAGAUAUGAAAGCAAUUUCUCAGAGUGGUAUUGUGUACAAUGGUGUACAUUUCAGGGUACCAUUACCUGAUGCUUUUAUUUGUGAUGCACCUGCUCGUGCCUUUCUUAAAUGCUCCAAAGGCCAUACGGGCUAUUAUGGGUGUGAGAGGUGCACUCAAAAAGGCCAGUACAUUAAUGGGAAGGUGGCUUAUCCUGAAAUAUCAGCAGAGCUCAGGACAGAUGAGCAAUUUGGCAGGCAAGGCUAUCAACAGCACCAACUGUCAGCCUCCCCCCUAAAUGACCUGGGUAUAGGUUUAGUUACCAGUUUUGUGUUAGAUUAUAUGCACCUUGUCUGCUUGGGGGCAAUGCGUAAGUUAAUAUUUCUUUGGUUGAAGGGGCCGCUGAAAUGCAGGCAAUCUAUGAAGUUUUUUGUUGUAAUGUCAGCAUAUAUGGUUUCUAUCAGGCAAUAUCUACCUAGCAAUUUUGCAAGGAAACCACGAUCCUUGUUUGAAUUCAGCACAUGGAAAGCUACAGAGCUUCGGCAAUUUUUACUUUACACUGGGCCUGUUGUUCUCCUCAAUAAUAUACCCAGUAUAAUGUACAGAAACUUUUUACUUCUAUCAGUAUCUAUGAGAAUACUUCUGAGUCCGGCCUUAUGUUCUCCUGACAAUUGUGACUAUGCUGAGGAGAUUUUGAAACUCUUUGUAACAGAUUUUGCUGCAAUUUAUGGUGCUGAAUUUGUCAGCUAUAACAUGCAUUCAUUGAUCCACCUAGCUCAAGAUGCACGAAAUUUCGGCCCGUUAGAUAGUGUUUCAGCUUUUCCCUUUGAGACAUUUUUAGGUAAACUGAAAAAACUUGUCCGUCGGCCUCAAAACCCUGUCCAACAACUCGUCAGGCGAAUCCAUGAGAAGCAGAAAGUGGCAAGCCAAAAGACCACAUCAGUUUUCAGCCCACUUAAACAGCUCCACUUUUCUGGACCAUUGAUUAAUUCAAUUGCAACAUGGGAACAAUACAGGCGUUACAAUGAUGGACAGACACUGAUCUCCUCCUCUCGUGGCGAUGACUGUUUUUCUGUAGGGGGAAGGAUUCUUAUUGUGCGGAACAUUUUGUCACAUUCUGGAAUUGUUAAAGUCCUGUGUAAUUUCUUUGAAACUGCCAAAUCCUUUUUCACCUAUCCAAUGGACUCAUCAUGUCUUGGAAUUCUUUUUGUUUUUAAUUUAUCUGAAGACUUGCAGCUGUUACCUGUGGAGGAGUUAAAAACAAAAAUGGUGUUAUUGCCACUCAAGACUGGAUACGUGGCAUUGCCACUCCUGCACUAGUGUGCUAUUUAUUAUUAUUUUUUAUUGUUUGUUUUAAUUUUUUUUUGUAUGUAUUUGUUUUUCUUUAAGCAUGUUACCUUUCGCGAUAGUUGAAUUUAUAAAUAGUGGAGGAUUGGCAGUUAUACCGACCAAGUGGUUUAUCGGGCCUGAGGAGGAUGAAUGCUACUGGCCACCAGCAAGGAUGAACAUGGCAAAGGCGGUCAUAGAGCAACAGGACCCUCACACUGACUGGGCGACAUACAAGUUGACUGUCAAGAGAAAAGUCGCAACGUAUGAAAUUGCCCGCACAAAAUUAGUCGAGUAUGAACAGAACACAGAUGUACCAACCGAAUCUGAUUCUACAGAGAAUAUGGGAAGGGGGAGGCGCAAAAAGAG